AAGGCCAGGGGAUGACUAUUCAUUCACUUAGGAAAAUCUUGGGGGUGGGGUUCUGCUAAGGGUUGAAUGUGCUCCUCCCAAAUUCAGAGGUUGAAGCCUAAUCCUUAAUGUGAUGCUAUUAUGAUGUGGGGCCUUUGGGAAGAAAUUAGGCCCUCAUGAAUGGGAAUGAGAAGAAAAGUCACGAGAGAGAUGCUCUCUCUCUCCCUGAUAUGAGAGCACAGGAAGAAGGUGGCCAUCUGCAAACCAAACAGAGGGCCCUCACCAGGAAUCACCAGCCCCUUGAUGUUAGACUUCCCAGCCUUCAGAACUGUGAGGAAUGAAUGUCUGUUCUUUAAACUAAUCUAUGAUAUUUUUGUUAUAGCAGCCUGAACUAAGACAGGCUCACAUACUCACAAGAAAGAAGAAAAAUGGUAGUGUUGAAGGAAGCCAACCGGUGAGAAAGACAGGGUCUCCAGGCUGUUGCUCCAGGCUGGUCUCAGACUCCUGACCUCAAGCAACCGUUGCUCCUGCCUCAGCCUCCCAAAGGGCUGAGAUGACAAGCAUGAGCCGCUGUGCCUGGACAGUAAUUUUUAUUAUAAUAAUUACAAUAUAUUAUAAAUUAUAUAGUAUAUAUCAUACAUUAUUAUCAUACAUCACUACAUGCUAUAUAAUGUAUAAUAUAUUACAUUGUAUAAAUGUAUAUUAACAAGUUUUAUUUUAUAAUUUAGAAUAACAUGAUCUAUAAUAAUACAUAAUAAAACUAUCAGUGGAUUCGAAA
RNAcentral lists this non-coding RNA (757 nucleotides) under Pongo abelii (Sumatran orangutan). Lineage: Eukaryota; Metazoa; Chordata; Mammalia; Primates; Hominidae. The record is from RNAcentral.